GACAAACGCUGGCGGCGUGUAUUAGGCAUGCAAGUCGAACGGACACUUCGGUGUCAGUGGCGGACGGGUGAGUAACACGUGGGUAACCUGCCUUCGAGUGGGGAAUAACUCGCCGAAAGGCGAGCUAAUACCGCAUACUACUACCGGUGAGAUUCCGGAUAGUAAAAGCAGUAAUGCGCUCGAUGAGGGGCCUGCGGCCGAUUAGCUUGUUGGUGGGGGUAAUGGCCUACCAAGGCGACGAUCGGUAGCUGGUCUGAGAGGAUGGUCAGCCACACGGGGACUGAGAUACGGGCCCCCGACUCCUACGGGAGGCAGCAGCUAAGAAUCUUGCGCAAUGGGCGAAAGCCUGACGCAGCAACGCCGCGUGGAGGACGAAGGCCCUCGGGUCGUAAACUCCUUUUGCGAGGGAAGAAGAUCUGACGGUACCUCGC
Molecule: ribosomal RNA, 431 nt
Filed under: uncultured bacterium
Lineage: Bacteria
Description: bacterial SSU rRNA
Rfam family: Bacterial small subunit ribosomal RNA
Source: RNAcentral